Molecule: unclassified non-coding RNA, 927 nt
Filed under: Hevea brasiliensis (rubber tree)
Lineage: Eukaryota; Viridiplantae; Streptophyta; Magnoliopsida; Malpighiales; Euphorbiaceae
Source: RNAcentral
UUUCUCUCCCUAUUUCUCUAUUUCGAAGGACGUUACAGGCAAGAUACAUAACAGAAUUAUUUAAAAAUUAUAGCACCAAAUCCUUAGACAGACGGGCAAAAAGAAAUGGUGAAUCACAUCAUUGAAACUUUCCUUCGCUGCUUCACAAGUAACCAACCUCAACAAUGGAUGAAAUGGUUAGCUUGGGCCAAAUUUUGUUAUAAUACAAGCUUCCAGUCAUCCCUCAAAAUGAUCACUUUGCAAGUGGUCUAUGGCAAGCCACCACCUGCCCUGAAAUCUUACUAUCCCGGCAUGUCCAAAGUGGAGGCAGUGGAUAUUGAAUUAAUCCAACAAGAUGAAAUCAUAGCUCUCUUGCAGGACAACUUGAGAAAAGCCCAUAACCAGAUGAAACAAUUCCAUGACAAGAAAUGCAGGGAAGUCCACUUCAACAUUGUUCAUCAAGUACUCAAACUCCAUCCUUAUAGACAACAUGCAAUGUCCACAUGUCCGAAUGGAAAACUUGCUGACAAAUUUUAUGGACCAUACUCAAUAAUCCAGAAAAUCAAUUCCAGAACACGCUUACUUUCGCAGCCACCAAACUGCAAGAUCCACCAUGUAUUCCAUUUUGUCACCCAGGAACUCAAUCACAUCCGCCUUACCUAAUACCUACACCGAAACAUCCACCAACCACCCUCAAGCAAUUUUGGAUACUCAAUACUUCAGGAAUAAACUGGAAUUGUUAGCACAAUGCCAAGGCAAAUCUCCUGCAUAAGCUUCUUGGGAGACCAUGCAAUACAUGAGUUCAAAGUUCCCCAACUUCUCUCUUGUGGACAGACUCAUUUUCAAAAACGGGUGAAUAUAUAGGCCUAACACCAGGAAAACAUUAGGGACGACGUACAAGAGGCAGAGGCAAAAAACGAAUGCAGAAGUGACAGACCAAACCAAAGA